Molecule: ribosomal RNA, 713 nt
Filed under: Lactarius aurantiosordidus
Lineage: Eukaryota; Fungi; Basidiomycota; Agaricomycetes; Russulales; Russulaceae
Also listed under: 1 other name
Description: eukaryotic LSU rRNA
Rfam family: 5.8S ribosomal RNA (bases 245-398)
Source: RNAcentral
UGCGGAGGAUCAUUAUCGUACAAACAUGUGUGAGGCGUGCGAGGGCUGUCGCUGACUUUUUGACACAAAAAGUCGUGCACGCCGGAGUGCGUCCUCUCACAUAAAAUCCAUCUCACCCUUUUGUGCACCACCGCGUGGGCACCCUUUGGGAUCGAAUCGAUCCAGGAGGGGGCUUGCGUUUUCACACAAACCCCUUUUAAAAAGUGUAGAAUGACCCCACUUUGCGAUGACACGCAAUCAAUACAACUUUCAACAACGGAUCUCUUGGCUCUCGCAUCGAUGAAGAACGCAGCGAAAUGCGAUACGUAAUGUGAAUUGCAGAAUUCAGUGAAUCAUCGAAUCUUUGAACGCACCUUGCGCCCCUUGGUAUUCCGAGGGGCACACCCGUUUGAGUGUCGUGAAAAUCUCAACCUUCUCGGUUUUCUUCUGGACACCGAAGGAGGCUUGGACUUUGGAGGCCUUUGCUGGCAUCUCUCUCUUCUUGAGAGCCAGCUCCUCUUAAACGAAUUAGCGGGGUCCUCUUUGCCGAUCCUCGACAUGUGAUAAGAUGUUUCCAUGACUUGGUUUCUGGCUCUGUUGCCUUUGGGACCCGCUUCUAACCGUCUCGACGAGACAACGUUUGGGCGCGUCUCCCUUCUCGGGAGACUCUCUCAACCCCACGAACCCUUGACCUCAAAUCGGGUGAGACUACCCGCUGAACUUAAGCAUAUCAU